GAGAGAGAGAGAGAGAGAGAGGGAGCAGGUGAGCGGAGCAGACAAGAGCAGAUAAGGACAAGAAGGAAGGAACUGUUUUAUUAUUAAUAUAAGUGAAUUGAAAUCGGUCAUAAUGAGAAUGAUGGAAAGGCAUUUUGAGAGUACAUUUGAGAAGACAAGUCCGCCGCGGUAGAAGAGUAACUCGACGCUCUGCGGAGGCUCCCACAAGACGUCAAGAGGAUGUCAAAGCAUUAUCAAAAAGGGCCGCUCUCUUGGAAGGGCCGUUUUCUUCUUGUUUUAUGGAUUUUGAUGUUGGCGAAUCCUCGACCAAAUGCUCUUGGUUACUUCCUGGGUGACAUCAAGGCGGUGCUGAAUGGCUGUGAGGACCACUGGACACUGCAGGAGAGGGCUGCGUUCCCUCUGCUGUACCGGAUGACCGUGUGCGUAAACAUCCGCGUGGUGGCUGCGGGGCGGUGGGUCGCGUUCACGUACAGCUCGGUGCAGGGGCUCACGCCGGAGCUCGGGUUGGAGGGAGAUGAUGAGGCGCUGUACGUGUGGCUGCUCCGCGUCAAACACAGAUUCCCCAUAAAACUGACGCCACAAGACUGGCACCAAGUGUGUCUGAGGAGGGACGUGGUGACCAGCUCCUUCAGCCUGGAGGUUGAUAACGAGAAGGUGGGACACAGAGUGGUGAUAGCUCAGGCCAUCCCCUCGUACGGCUCCCUGUGGCUGGGCUGUGGGCAGAGGGACACGGCUGCCGCAGCUGCCCCGGGACAACUGGAGCUUUACCUGUUCAGAGUGUGGGCGGACCUGGACCAACACCAGCCCUGUGAGGAUGGCUCUGUAAUUGGCUGGUCGUCGGAAUACUGGGGAGUGACCAGUCCCAAGGCCAGAGAGAGAGACAAUGAUCUACCCUGUGUCCACAGGAGGUUGCCUCGACAUAGGCACAGAAGAGAAGACGGUGACUUUUGCAACUGUGCAACUUUUUGCAACUAUCGAAAUCAUUUCUAUGCACAAGAGCUGGAUAUUAUCAAUGGUAAUGCUGAUGAGAGCUCCCUCCAAAGCAUUUUGACAAAAAAAGUGAUUGAAAACUGUGGAGUUAAACCAAGCGUUGAAUGCAUAAAGUCUUUAGCUGUCCUUAGGAAGCAAGGUCUCCAGAAUACGUAUGUGAAGUGCCAAACCGUAGAUGCAAGGCCUAACAGCUGCAGAAUGAUACUAGAAUUUAACAAACUGAUCACAGAGUGCUCAGCGAUCACAGCUGUACAAGCUCUUAUUAACAAUAAUGAAGCAGUCACAACGAGAGGGGAUCUAACUCAUAUGGUGGUGUGUGGUGAUUUCGAUAAACCCAGUGAUACUUUGCUGACUUCCAAUCUGGUGUGGAUUGAUAGAGGUCUAAAGACAUCUGAUAUAUGUGAAGAGAACCAAACUCACCUCACAUGUAAACCGAAUGAAAACGUCGCUGUGCUUUUGAGUGACACCUGCCAAUCAGAUCCAACCGUAACUCCUAGUACUCCAUCAGCUACAACUAUUACUGCAACUACUACCACUCAAACUCCCACUCAAUCUACUCAUGCUAUUCCAGCUACAAGUGCUAUACCUACUACUACAACCACCACUACUACUACUACUACUACUACAGCUGCAACAACCACUGUCAGUACAAAAGUAUCACAACCUAUUGUACCAUCAACCAUGCCAGUUACCACAAAAAUUACAAAUAGGCCAACAACAUCUACAAGUACAACAAAAUCAGUUACUACAUUGGGCUUAACAACUGAUACAUCACAACCUAGUACGACUGCUUUAAUAAAUGAUAAAACUACGACAAUAUUAACUUCUACAAAACGUGACACAACUACGACCCAAACGGCAUCAACUACAAAUGCAGUUAGCAAUCCAACCACAGCAAACCCAACCACGGCUACCACAAUCGAUAAAGCUACAACUUCAAUGACCACAAGUAGAGACACAACCACACUCAAGGGGUUUCCGACUACUCAACCCAGUUCAACGCCAAUCCCGACAACGGCUACCACGAUGGCUCAAACGACUAUUGCUAACUCAGCAACAUCUUCCACAGUUUACACUAUGACAGCUAAAACGUAUCAGACGAGUCCUAAUGUGAUCUCUACAACUGAAACUACAGCUAAAACUUCACCCACCUCUACGACUAUUCAGACAACACCAACGCCAUUAACAACAACUACCCAGAAUGAGACCCCAACAACAGUAACUUCAACCCAAAUACCAGAAACAACAAGUACAAGCUUACCAAAUACUACAUUGGACAAAACUACUAUGCAUACUACUAGUAUUCCAUUAGUUACUGAGGGGACUACGAUUGUUACCAGCCAAGUAACCACUACAGUACCAUAUAGUUCAUCAACACAGCAAAUUACUGACACUACACAAAAGUUGACAUCUAUUCCAAGUACGACUGAAGAAGUUCACAAUUUAACUUUGUCAACAACACCUACGCCUACUUCAAAUGAUAGUUUAGUGUCUACAAUGGGAACUGUUUCCACGACAACCUCUCCAUCCCCAAGUUCAACAACCACGGCGAGUACUUUUACUAGUCCUACGAUGUCGUCGGUAAUCACGUUGAACUAUACAACAGCUGAUAGGAUGAUAAAUAAUACUACAACAGGUAAUGCAACUACGCCAAUACUAAUAAUUUCAACCCAAAUUCCAGAAACAACAAGUACAAGUUUACCAAAUACUACAUUGGACAAAGCUACUACUAAUGCUACUAAUACUCCUUUAGUUAGUGAGGGGACUACGAUUGCAACCACCCAAGUAACAGUGUACAAUGUAACUGCUAAUGUGACGCUAGGCACUGUAACUACAACGCCAAUUUACAAUACAACUACACCAGAAACAAAUACUACUAUGGCAAUGAAUACUACUAUAAUUACUUCUACUACUGUCCUACCACUACUGAACACAACUAUGGCAAGAAAUUUCACAACAAUAGAAAUGAAAAAUACUACUAUACUAAAUAAUACUACUACUUCAAUAACUCAAAAUACAACAAUUCAAAUCAAUACCACAGUAACCGUCACAGUUACACCAGAAAUGAAUACAACAUUGAAAAACACAACAGCGACAACUCAAGCUAGUACGACUACUGUACCACCAACACGAAACAUUACAGAGCAUUUGACCACCCCUGGCAUGAAAAAUAUGACAGUUGGUACAAUCUUGAAUGGGACCACAGUCUCUCCUGCUAGCAUUGCCACGACGAGUAGCCAAACUACAUCAAGUACUGUUGACAAGACGACUACAAGCACGGCCACGCCACAAAUGAAUUUAACAAUAGAGGUAACCACUCCUGGAGCAGACCUAUCCUCUCAGGCUACUGCUAUACCAAAUACAACAAUUACAGCUACUACUACUACUACUGCUACUACCCCUUUUACUGGUAAGAGGUUUCAAUCAACUGAGGAAAGCUCCACUAGUACUACCGAUACAACACAACUGUCCAGAUCAAGUAUUCAGACCUCCACAACAUCUGCCGCAAGUACUGAGCAAACCACAGGAUCCCAACAGGAUCUGGAGGCGGAGGCUGAUAACCUUCUGUCUGAAACUGAGAAUGCAUCUCGGCUCAAUUCUUCACAGGUGUCAGAGUUAGUGGGGCAGCUGGAAAGACUCUUGGAUGGUCCCUCUGUUUCUCAGUCUAUGGGGGAAAAGGCUAUAAAUAUAAUCAGCAACCUUAUGGACGGAGAUCCACAGGCUCUCGCUGCAUCUGCGAACAGGUUGGUUCGUUUGGUGGAUAAUCUGGGUCUAAAGCUGCAGGUGUCAGGUCAAAAUGCAAUCCUCUCUUCUACGUCUCUGGUUUUGGCCGUGCAGCCUGUGGACGGGACCCAGUUUGCUACAACAACGGCCAAUAUCUUCAGCACUAACAAUGUUCAGAUCAAUGCGCGCAGAGCCAGGUCGACGAAAGCUCCUCUGGGCUCAGUGUUUUUACCUGCAUCCCUCACUGAAGGUCUGAGUCCAGAGGAGAAGCAGAGGGCCAACAGAGUGCAGUUCACUUUCUACACCAAGAGCACACUGUUUAUGGAUACAACACUAAAUGACAAAACUACACUCAGUCCAGUUCUGGCCUCCAGUGUGGCCAAUUUGUCCAUAAGAAACCUCAGGGAAGACAUUGAAUUCACAAUAAGAAAUGUCAACCCCAUAAAAAUUAACCACUCCUCUGCGUGCGUGUUUUGGGACUUCACAGAAAAUGGUGGUAAGGGGGGCUGGAGCAAUGUUGGUUGCCAUGUUGUCCGCGUUACAGCUGACGACACAACAUGUAGCUGCAACCACCUCACAUCAUUCGCAGUGCUUUUGGAUUUGUCCAGACAGGGAAUAACAGACCGUCAGCAGGCUCAGCUCCUCACUUUUAUCACCUACAUCGGCUGUGGAGUCUCUGCUGUGUUUUUGUCGGUCACCAUUCUCACAUACCUCUUAUUCGAAAAAUUAUUGCGGGACAUUCCAGCCAAGAUCCUGGUUCAGCUCUGCAUGUCUCUGCUUCUUCUAAACCUGGUGUUUUUGGUUGACGGCUGGUUGGCUCUCUUUAGCGCGAACGGACUAUGUAUUAGCACAGCCUUCUUUCUGCACUACUUCCUGUUGACAUCGUUCACGUGGGCGGGGCUUGAGGCUCUGCACAUGUACUUCAGUAUAGUCCGUGUGUUCACUCCGUACUUCAGCAAAUACAUGACCAAGUUCUCCCUUAUGGGCUGGGGUAUCCCUCUGAUUGUGGUGGUCAUUAUAAUCUCAGUGGACAAAAACAACUAUGGCCUGAUCUCAUAUGGAAGAUACACAGAUGGAACGUCAGAUGAUUUCUGUUGGCUGCGUAAUGACUUGGUUUUCUACAUUGGCGUUGUGGCCUACUUCCUCCUGAUGUUCGUCUUUUGUCUGGUGAUGUUUGUGGUGGUGAUGGUCCAACUUGCCCGAAUAAAGAGACAGAACCCCCAGAACCAGUCUCCAAACCGGGGGACCCUCUCAGACCUGCGCAGCAUCUUUGGACUGGUCAUCCUCCUGGGUCUUACCUGGGGAUUUGCCCUGUUUGCCUGGGGACCACUCUACCUGCCUUUUGUCUAUCUGUUUUGUAUCUUCAACUCUCUACAAGGUUUGUUUAUCUUUGUGUUCCACUGUGCCAUGAAAGAGAACGUCCAGAGACAGUGGAGGAUGUAUCUGUGCUGUGGUAGACUCAGGCUGCCUGAAAACUCCGACUGGAGUCGAACAGCGACCCACAACAACAAGUCCACGUCCUAUGGCAUGAUGUCGACCUCGGCAGCUCACCCCAUCGUCAGCCAAGCCUCCAUCAUCAGCGACGCCAACAGCAGCGGCUCGGUGUUUACAGACAGUGGCAUUUCUGACGGCUCAAACAGUGAUGUGGUUUGGAAUGAGCGCCACAGACUAAACAUGACUCUACAAGGGUCCCUCUGACAUCGGCUACUCACCACAACUAUAAUGCACAUAGUAACACAUGGACUAUAGAGGUUUGCACCAGCUGGGGGUACACCAAACAAUGCCAGCACAGGGUCAGGAUCUAACUGAAGUUGACAAACGUCAGACAUCAUGCGGAAUAUUUUUGUCCAAUAGAGGGACAUUUCUGGACAACUCCAAAAAGUAUGAGCCAGUGAGGCUUGGCCCUGCCCACAGCGCUAAAGUUACAUAGUGUUUUUUUAAUGUAAAAUUACUUGAUGUUUUUGAAACUAUGAAAAAGACUGAAUUACAUGUGAAUAUGUGAAAUCCUGUAUAUUAUUAUUGCUUGUAUACUUGUAAAAAGACUAAUAAUUUAUGACGUGUGCACUUUUUGCAUCAACAGUAGAAUAGUGUAUUUUAAAUACUGUUUAUACAUUGUUUUCAUAAUGUUGUGUUUUAUGGUGGUUAGCACAUUUUGCACUGUGUAGAGAUUUGUUUCUAAUGACGUAUCAGUUGAACUAAUUCACUAUAACUAAGUCAGUGUUCAGUGCUGUGUCAGUAAUGCCUAAAAUGUAUAGUCAUUUAUCCUUAAAUCUUGAGAAACUAAAACAUGCUUUCUGUGUGUCAGGACUUCUGUCUGACACACAGACAUUUCAGUGUUGAGAUGUUUUCUGCACACGAUAAAGCAGAAGUAGGUGGUUUGAGACAAACUGUAAACAUGUUAAGUACAAUGUAGAAUUAACGUUGGAAUAACACUCUCUUUAUAUAUAUGUUUGUAUUAUUUGGCCUUACCCCUCCUGAGCUCUGCAGAAGUCUUGAGUUAAUUAAAACAAAUUGGUUCUAAAUUAUUCAUUGUUUAAAUGGAAAAAAAUAAAAUAAAACUUCAGCUAAAUGUC
RNA transcript from Periophthalmus magnuspinnatus, 6287 nucleotides. It is a transcript of the gene named adhesion G-protein coupled receptor G2-like, with no coding region annotated. The record is from RefSeq and is a predicted model, not a curated record. Lineage: Eukaryota; Metazoa; Chordata; Actinopteri; Gobiiformes; Gobiidae. The transcript has 28 exons.